Long non-coding RNA from Ruditapes philippinarum (Manila clam), 592 nucleotides. RefSeq lists it as uncharacterized. Lineage: Eukaryota; Metazoa; Mollusca; Bivalvia; Venerida; Veneridae. The record is from RefSeq and is a predicted model, not a curated record. The transcript is spliced from 3 exons.
AUUAUCAUUUGUGGUACAUUAUAUGUAUCAAAAUGACGUGUUUUUAAUAGUGCUUUAACAUUUAAUCAUAGUGACAGAAAAGGGAAAGAAAACAUAAUUAACCUUUAAUUCGAAUCUAAAGUCACGUGGAUGGAAAUUCGUAGGCGUUACGUUUUGGCUGUCGGUCAGGAAUCGGGAUGCAUUGAUAAGUGAAUAUUAUAGGUUUUCUUGAACAAAAAGGGAGUUUAAGUGUUGAACAUGCUCUCAAAGGUCGGAGGGACGGAAACACAUGAAUAUGUAAAAAGAAACAUAUGAAAUGAAAAUGAUGUCACACACGCUAUUGGGCGCUACAUAUCCUCCGGACAGACGAGGGGUGCUGAAAGAAGGUCAUAUCUUAAAGCAUCACACCUCAAAAUUCGUGCUAAUUCUCAUGGAUAUCUAAAAGUAUAACUUUGUGAAGUAACUAAAAGGCAGCAAUUUAUACAUUACUGACAAUUAUCAAAGGAGGUCAAAAUAUGCAAAAUGGCACUAAAUGUUUUAGAAAUGCUGUAGAAAUAUAGUUAAAGUACUGAAAAUCUGUCAUUAAUUGCUCGAAACAUUAUUAUCAGAAUGU